AACUAACGCUGGCGGCGUGCCUAACACAUGCAAGUCGUACGAGAAAGUUGGCUUCGGCCGAUGAGUACAGUGGCGCACGGGUGAGUAACGCGUGGAUAAUCUGCCCUUAAGUGUGGAAUAACGUACCGAAAGGUGCGCUAAUACCGCAUAAUGCCUGGCAACAUAAGUUGUCCGGCCAAAGAAGGCCUCUGCUUGCAAGCUUUCGCUAAAGGAUGAGUCCGCGUACCAUUAGCUAGUUGGUGGGGUAACGGCCUACCAAGGCGACGAUGGUUAGCUGGUCUGAGAGGAUGAUCAGCCACACUGGAACUGAGACACGGUCCAGACUCCUACGGGAGGCAGCAGUGAGGAAUAUUGCGCAAUGGGGGCAACCCUGACGCAGCAACGCCGCGUGAGUGAGGAAGGUUUCGGACUGUAAAGCUCUGUCGAGCGGGAAGAAGUGUACCAUGGCUAAUAUCCAUGAUAUUUGACGGUACCGCUAGA
This 480-nucleotide ribosomal RNA is filed under the name uncultured bacterium. RNAcentral's name for it is "bacterial SSU rRNA". It matches the Rfam family "Bacterial small subunit ribosomal RNA", at positions 29 to 485 of the family's 1533-position model. The record is from RNAcentral.